AUUGAACGCUGGCGGCAGGCCUAACACAUGCAAGUCGAGCGGAUGAAGGGAGCUUGCUCCUGGAUUCAGCGGCGGACGGGUGAGUAAUGCCUAGGAAUCUGCCUGGUAGUGGGGGAUAACGUCCGGAAACGGGCGCUAAUACCGCAUACGUCCUGAGGGAGAAAGUGGGGGAUCUUCGGACCUCACGCUAUCAGAUGAGCCUAGGUCGGAUUAGCUAGUUGGUGGGGUAAAGGCCUACCAAGGCGACGAUCCGUAACUGGUCUGAGAGGAUGAUCAGUCACACUGGAACUGAGACACGGUCCAGACUCCGACGGGAGGCAGCAGUGGGGAAUAUUGGACAAUGGGCGAAAGCCUGAUCCAGCCAUGCCGCGUGUGUGAAGAAGGUCUUCGGAUUGUAAAGCACUUUAAGUUGGGAGGAAGGGCAGUAAGUUAAUACCUUGCUGUUUUGACGUUACCAACAGAAUAAGCACCGGCUAACUUCGUG
This 484-nucleotide ribosomal RNA is filed under the name uncultured bacterium. RNAcentral's name for it is "partial 16S ribosomal RNA". It matches the Rfam family "Bacterial small subunit ribosomal RNA", at positions 30 to 507 of the family's 1533-position model. The record is from RNAcentral.